This 443-nucleotide ribosomal RNA is filed under the name uncultured Actinomycetes bacterium. RNAcentral's name for it is "bacterial SSU rRNA". It matches the Rfam family "Bacterial small subunit ribosomal RNA", at positions 917 to 1359 of the family's 1533-position model. The record is from RNAcentral. Lineage: Bacteria; Bacillati; Actinomycetota; Actinomycetes.
GGACCCGCACAAGCGGCGGAGCAUGCGGAUUAAUUCGAUGCAACGCGAAGAACCUUACCAAGGCUUGACAUACACGAGAACACCCUAGAAAUAGGGGACUCUUUGGACACUCGUGAACAGGUGGUGCAUGGUUGUCGUCAGCUCGUGUCGUGAGAUGUUGGGUUAAGUCCCGCAACGAGCGCAACCCUCGUUCUAUGUUGCCAGCACGUUAUGGUGGGAACUCAUGGGAUACUGCCGGGGUCAACUCGGAGGAAGGUGGGGAUGACGUCAAAUCAUCAUGCCCCUUAUGUCUUGGGCUUCACGCAUGCUACAAUGGCCGGUACAAAGGGCUGCAAUACCGUGAGGUGGAGCGAAUCCCAAAAAGCCGGUCCCAGUUCGGAUUGAGGUCUGCAACUCGACCUCAUGAAGUCGGAGUCGCUAGUAAUCGCAGAUCAGCAACGCUG